GGCUGGGCCCAUGGCACUAGGUGAUCAGAACUUACUAACAUUACUGUCACUAAAUUUGGUAUACACUCCCCCACUGCUAAUGAGACUGGCUUUAA
RNAcentral lists this small RNA (95 nucleotides) under Cercocebus atys (sooty mangabey). RNAcentral describes it as "Y RNA (ENSCATG00000001845.1)". The record is from RNAcentral. Lineage: Eukaryota; Metazoa; Chordata; Mammalia; Primates; Cercopithecidae.